UUCCUGUAAUAAGAGCUCCAUGAUUCCUGAUCCGACAUCUCCACGGUGAUACCUUCCAUGCCACCGAAGGGCCUGGAUGAGGAUUCUUCCUUACUUUCAUCCAGGGACUCGGGAUUGCCACCAAGUCAUCUAAGAGAUCCUCUUUCGUGCAGCUCUGAUCUCAGCGGGAUUCAGCACAUUCCCCAUCCAGACCUCUGGGUUGGAGACCAUACUUCCUGUCCGAAGACUGUCAGUCCAUGCCCCCAUCGGCGUUGCUCUUUUCACUUGUGCACCAUGUUACUAGAUUCAUGAGUAAGUCUGCCUUCAAAGCCCAGGCCUCAGAGACAAGAGCUCUGUCCGCGGGGACUAAAGGACAUAAGUUACUUUCAUUUCCUUAUGCUGAUCCUCCCUCUUUCCUAGUACUGUUAGCAAGAGCCUGUUGUCCUCAGGGUCUCCACCCUUCGGCAUCCCCUCAGCUGAUUUCUGUCCCAUUGAGCACGCUCCCAUAGACAGACUCCCACAAGGGCCCCAGAACCUGGACGUCAGGCUACCCUGGACAGCCUCCUGUUAAGGGGAUGUUCCAUGUUACUGGUUCAACCCCAGUAGCCAGGAGGUGGCUCUAAUACAGUCCUGCCGAUGAAUGCUGCCUGUUAGGAGCUAGGCCUCACUGAUACAGUCUGCUAUGUCCAGUGGCUCUGGCUCAAUGGUCUGUGGGGUGUAACCCACAUGAACAGAAGCUCUUUGGGGUCCUCAGUCAUAGUUAAGAGUAGUCCUGAGUCCAGAAAGCCGACCUAGGUGAUGCAGAAGCUCGUCAUGGCAGUGUCUGGGACCCAGGGCCAGGCCAGGGUCUAGUCAUCUUCCUGGCACCUUAGGGAGAAGGCAGCAGAGUCUGCAUUGCAAUGCAGAAACCCUGAGACAUUGUGGUAACUUUAGAGGAGGAAGACCUAGCAGCUGGAACAGCUAGAAGAGUCCCCCCACAAAAGGGAGCUUUUGAGCUAAGGCCUGAAGAGAGCCAGGCCUCGGGAAGCAGAGCCUUCCAGUCAUGGGAGACAUCAGUGCAAAGAUCUGGAGGUGAGAGAUGAAAAACACUGAGGAGCUCAGGAUGCCUGGUCCAUAGAAUUCAUGGAGAGCAGUAAGUGUAAAAAGACUGGACACAUAGGAAGGGACCAGCCAGGUUGGAUAAACUGCCAGUGCUGGACAGAGCAGUUUGUGUUUGAUUCAGACCUGAGCAUUGGUACAUUUGGCAGCUGAUUAGAGGUUGGGUUGGAGUACCCUGAGCCACAAGGUGUGAACUAUGAGGAGGUCAUGGCCGCUAGGUGGCGCUGUGGCCGGAGCACUGAGCCUGCAGUCAGGAAGAGCUGAGUUUGAAUCCUACCUUGAACACUUAAUAGUUGUGAUCCUGGGCAGGUCACUUAACCUCUGUUUACCUCAGUUUCUUCAUCUGUAAAACAGGGAUAACAUACAUGUACCUCCCAGGAUUGCAGUGAUAAUCAGAUGAGAUAACAUUUUUCCUUUUUUUUUAUUUUAAACUGAGCUACAAAAUGAGAAAAGGAAAAACAAAAGAGCAUUUCCAUGUCCCCAGCAGAACCUAAGAGAGGGGUCAACAUGAAACAAUAAAUUUCCAUUUCUCAAAAACCUAUGCAAUAAACCUUCCACGGUGCUUUCAAAGCAA
Trichosurus vulpecula (common brushtail) is the source of this 1651-nucleotide long non-coding RNA. RefSeq lists it as uncharacterized. The transcript has 3 exons. NCBI's taxonomy places the organism in Eukaryota, Metazoa, Chordata, Mammalia, Diprotodontia, Phalangeridae. The record is from RefSeq and is a predicted model, not a curated record.